RNAcentral lists this ribosomal RNA (543 nucleotides) under uncultured archaeon. RNAcentral's name for it is "bacterial SSU rRNA". It matches the Rfam family "Archaeal small subunit ribosomal RNA", at positions 326 to 873 of the family's 1478-position model. The record is from RNAcentral.
CGGGGUGCAGCAGGCGCGAAAACUUUGCAAUGCGGGAAACCGUGACAAGGGAACUCUGAGUGCCCGUUAAAUCGGGCUGUCCAUCGGUUUAAAUAACCGGUGAAGAAAGGGCCGGGCAAGACCGGUGCCAGCCGCCGCGGUAAUACCGGCGGCUCGAGUGGUGGCCACUAUUACUGGGCUUAAAGCGUUCGUAGCUGGUUUGUUAAGUCUCUGGGGAAAUCUUCCGGCUUAACCGGAAGGCGUCUCAGGGAUACUGGCAGACUAGGGACCGGGAGAGGUGAGAGGUACUCCAGGGGUAGGAGUGAAAUCCUGUAAUCCUUGGGGGACCACCUGUGGCGAAGGCGUCUCACCAGAACGGCUCCGACAGUGAGGGACGAAAGCUGGGGGAGCAAACCGGAUUAGAUACCCGGGUAGUCCCAGCUGUAAACGAUGCGCGUUAGGUGUAUCGGUGACCACGAGUCACCGAGGUGCCGAAGAGAAAUCGUGAAACGUGCCGCCUGGGAAGUACGGUCGCAAGGCGGAAACUUAAAGGAAUUGGCGGGG